RNAcentral lists this ribosomal RNA (182 nucleotides) under uncultured Staphylococcus sp. Its description in RNAcentral is "partial 16S ribosomal RNA". It matches the Rfam family "Bacterial small subunit ribosomal RNA", at positions 158 to 334 of the family's 1533-position model. The record is from RNAcentral. Lineage: Bacteria; Bacillati; Bacillota; Bacilli; Caryophanales; Staphylococcaceae.
CGGGGCUAAUACCGGAUAACACAUGAAACCGCAUGGUUUCAUGAUGAAAGACGGUUUUGCUGUCACUUAUAGAUGGACCCGCGGCGUAUUAGCUAGUUGGUAAGGUAACGGCUUACCAAGGCAACGAUACGUAGCCGACCUGAGAGGGUGAUCGGCCACACUGGGACUGAGACACGGCCCAG